AUUAAAACCAAAACUGUGCAAGUGUCAAGAUCGGUUAGCAGCAGCAAAAAGAUAAAUAAGAAAUAGCCAAGGACCCAUAAAAUAAAUAAUCUCAAUACCAAAAAGUUCUAGUGAAAUUCACAAUUCUGACUUGGAAAGUGAAAGUUUGGCCAUUAAACGUACGAUUAAAAUCCACAACAGCACGAUCAAAAAUAGUAUCAAGCAAUUAGCGCAGAAAAAGUAACAAAAAAAAUUUUAAAAAACAGGAACGCGACGUGCCCGCAAAAGCGAAAAAAAAUUAAAAUCGAAAGUGUUCUACUGACAUGGAUUACUUUUUGCCGCCCAAACUACAAACACAACAAAACGCGCAGAGAAACUAGCACUACUUUUUUCUAUUCACCCAUUCGGAGAGUGAGAAGAAUCGGAGAGAAGGAAAGAGAGCAAAGGCCGGUCCGAAAUAGAAAGCACUACACUGGAAAAUCUGUUAAUAAGAAUGCAAUGAAAGUAAUACGAAACACAGAUAUAUUUAGCUUAUAUUACUCUUAAAACUCUAGAAAAAUCUAGAUCGGUUAAUAUAACAAUUUUAAAAUAGCUUAGUUGGCAUCGAUGUUACGGAAAAAAUUUUUCCAGUUGUACUUGAAAGGCAGAAAUAUUUCGAGAUUUAGAUUUAUGAGUCUUCCUAAAGAAAUUAAAUUGGAUAGAAAAUGUCUUUUAGAUAUAGAAUACAGGGUGAUGCCUAAUCCAUUAAAAUCGAGCAAUCUAAAAAGUGUCAUACCAGUUAGAUUGGGUGUAACCAACGCAACGUUCUCACUGUGUAGAUAGCGAUCUCUUCUAUUCGGCGGUGUACGUGCACUUGGCCAUUUGUCUCUCCAUUCUCCAUUUUUCGCGCCUCGCUCUCAAUUCUCUGCGCUCAAAUCCUCUAGCAAUUCUAAUUCGUAUUCUCGCCGCCUCGCUUUGAACUUGAACUUUAAAUGCACAAACCAUAAUCGUGUAUGUUAUGUUGUUGCUGGCCGAGGGCGUGCUCUCGCACUCUGGCAAACAUGGGCUCUACGAGUUUGCUAUAUAUACGCAGCGCAAUCAGUUGCGAGGCAGCACUCGUUCCAUGUGGGCGCUCGACAAUCGCCCGCUGAUCAGUUUUCGACUGGCUUGCAAUUAAUUCGGCUCUUGACGAGCCCCAAAAGUGAAAGUCGCGAGUGAAAGACGUGGCAGUUUUAUAUUAAAGAAAAAUACGAAAACGGGCAGCAGAUCAAACAUGAACAGUACGCAAAACACGAAAUGCGAAACGGCGGCAACAAGUUAAUAAAUUAAGACGGCAAACGAAAAAAUCCAGAUUCCGAGCACUGCAAAGAAAGUGGCACAAAUGCUUUGCUUUUAUCGUAGGAAAUUCGCAAAAAAUGUACAAAUAAAACGAAAGAAAAGUUGCCACUAUCAAAUCCCACCGUUCUUUAACUAUAGUUUCCUUCUAAAUCUAGCCUCUACUAGGCUUUGUCUGUGCAUUCGAAAGCCGAUCAGACAUAGCCUAUAAGAGGUUAGGUGUACCAAGGCGAACAAUCAGCGAAAACGGAAUCGAUUACAGUUUUGGAGAUCGUGAGAGGAGGAGAAGAGGCGACUGCUUGAUAAGCCCGGACCCUCCAGCGAUCUCCAAUCAAUAUUACUUUCCACCUACAUAUCUCCCCCUUUCAGCUGGUUUAAUUUUGGAUUCCCCCAUCUGGCUGGCCUAUUUUCGCCUGGCCUGCGUUAUUUAUUAGUUAAUAAACCAUUAAUAUAUACUUGAAUAAAAAGGCGUUUCUCUGAUUUUUGAUGAGUGUGCGUUUUCAUGGGACGGACUCAUCGAGCGAUUAUUGCGAGUCGGUUUGGCGACUUGGAUUUGUUGAUUUUACUUUGUUCUCGGGUUUUGCUGGCCACACAAAGCGGAUUGGAUUACAGUUUAUUAUCGAACUUGAAGGCGCCAGUCGCCAAAACAGCUGGUAAUUUUCCAAUACAUGAAUGGCAGGAAAAUCCAUUUGCGUCGUCAUGAGAAUUCUAUGUGGUGCAGUCCACCCGCGAUGAUAAUUUUUAAGAUUUGGGAAGAUUGAAUACAUAUGAUAUCAUAUAUGAUAUGAAUACAAUUUUAAUAAAGAAAAAUUAUGCUAAAAAAAUGUAAUCAGAAUUUGUCUGUGAAUAAGACAUAAUGCUUUAAAUAUGUAGGAAUAGCAGGGUCCGAGCAAAAGCGUGACAAGAGAAACAGCAGGAGAAGCGACAGCAGAAUAAAAGGACAGAGAAAACGGAGAAAAGAAAAGGCCGGGCGGGGUUCGGUGUGUGGACAGCAAGCGUGGAGUAAAACCGAAAGUUAUUAACGGAAAACCUAAAUGUUAUAAUAACCGUGUGAUUUUCAAUUGUUAACUACUAUAAUAAAACUCUAAGUUGAGUAUAUCUCAGCUUACAUUUAUUAUUCAUAAAAAUAGGAUAAGAAGUUGGUACGACAUCGAACCAAAAACGAUGCGAAUAAUGCUUAAUCAUUUAGUUAUCUAUUUCCAAAGCUGCAUAGAGUAUUUCGAUGAGGCACCCGAAAUUAAAAAUAUUUUUUAAAUUUUGAAAAGUAUACAACGGUUGCACUGCUUGUAAAAGCUUGAACAGCUUUUCUAAGAAACUUUCAUACACGAUCAUUUAUCGAACUGCUUUAAGUAAAGUUAAGUAAAGUAAAUGUAAGAUACUUUACAUAGACAAAAAAACUACACCGUGGGAAACAUAAAAUUCUUUAAAUAAAUACGUACAAGUUAAAGGUUUUAUUCUACUAAAUACGUUUUAAUAAUUUCCAAUAUUUUAUAUUUAACAACCAUUAUAUUAACAUUGAAAUAAAAUAAUUUUUGACCCACAAAAUAGUUUUUUGAAUAUUGAACAAACUAAGAUUUGAAACAUGUAUGGCCUGAAUGAUAUAAGUUUUAAAUCUACAAUUCGAUAAUUCUGUAGUUCCAAGAAAAAGCUUUAAAGCUUUUCAAGGCCUGCUGUGCUUCUACUGAUUCUUUCAUGAAGUUUCUGCAGAUGGCUCCUCAUUUGUGGAACUUCAAUGGGUCGUUUGCGAACUGGAAGUUGAGUUAACUCCCACAUUGGCAAUUCAUUGGCUUCUGUUGCCUUGGUUUAUCUGCACAGGCUGCACAUAAAACACGUUCGGAAUGACCGAAAAUGCGUAUCAGACAGACAGUCUACCAUUUCGGUGGAUUUCUCACACAUAAAAUCCGAGUUGAAAUCGAAGACAUUAACCGAAGGAAAACGGAUUGCAGCGCAGCAUCGUUCAUGUCUUCCCUAAUGGCUUGUACAUGGCACUUGAGCACUCUGCCGUGCCGUAUUUAUGGCCUGCACUCUACCAUUUGCUGUUGUCUGUGCACAGCGAAAAAAUUCAGAAAGUAAAAAGGCUAAUAAGGAUAAUCGUUACUCUACGCGUUCUUCUAAAUUUUAAUUCUUUUCAGUGAAUGCAAUUUAGAAAGCGAUAGAGGAACACAAUUUCUCAGAAAUUUGUAAUCCUCUCAAGCAAUAUGAAUGUUUAUAUCUUGAAGAUUCUAAAGACAUCGGCGACUUUUUUUUCUCAAUGGUCACAGCAAAAUGAUGUUGUGAAAUUCUUUAAUGAGCAAGAAGAAGUAUUGUUGAGUGUGAUUUUACUAUUUUCCAGCUGCCGGCUGCGCACGCCGCUUAUGCAAUGUGCAAUGUGAGGCUCAUCAUCAUGGGUCUAGCCCGAGUACAUGGGCUAACAUUUAACCCACAUCCAGCUGACGGAUCCGUUCCUGGUCCAUUGGCCGCGGGGAUUGACCUUCCCCCAUCUCCUAAGCCAGCUUCUUCCGCGGAAUGUGUUCGAAUUUGUCGGAGUUAAUUGAGUAACACGCCCACCGCGACCAGUGAACAGGGAAAACAAAUGAUUGCAGUUAAUUAAAUUUAAGCAAAAGCCCUGCCAGCAGCUACAAACAGCAUCAACAGCGUUACCAAUUCAUUGCAGUAAUAAAUUGACCCACUUUCGAAUCUGCAACCUGACCCAACUACAUGGCAAAUGUAGAAAAACAACAAGCGCAAAAUGUAUAUAUGUAUAAAAAAAACAUACACAAAGCCCAAAACAAACUUGGCUGUAAAAUCGACAAGCGCCAAACAACAACAAACAAGCCAGAGCAGCCAGCAAACCAGCAAAACAAACUCAACACUUUAGUGCAACAGUUUAGUGUCAGGCAAAACGAAUGACUUAAGAAACGAACGCGACCGCCCGACGACAGUCGCCCCAGUCGCUCACCCUUCAUCCAUCCCCUCUCCCGCCCGCUGAGGCCGUCUGCACGUGAUCCGGCGAUCAGUGAUGGCCACUAUUGUUAACCAAAAUGGUUGGUUGGUAAAAUUUGCAUAUAAGUUACCGUAAUUGUAUCGGAAACUAGCGGAUUUUUUACACUCCAUAUGAUAUUAUUUCUUUUCAGCGGUGAUUUUAGUCAAAUGGUCAAUUAUUUCUCCUUUAUGAAAAUAUUCGACAUUAAUUAAUUCUUUUUGUUUUAAAUUGCUAAGGUAAAUUUGUCUUCUGUGGAACACUGAAAUAUACAUUGAUUAAAACUAUUCGUAGUGGCUAACUAAGUAGAAUUUCGUAAUGCUAAUGCUAAUGCUAAAAGCAUUUUUUUGUAGACAUAAAUUUCCUUGUGAAUAGCUGGCACCUGCUGAAGUGGAACAAUUUUCACGAUUUUCGCUUUAAAACGGCCAAAUUCGCCACUCUGUUUGCCCGACCACUGCACCACACAUUGCACACACGAGUGUGUGUGUGUGUGUGUGUGUGCUCUUCUCGAAGCCAAGAAAAUUAGUCUGAAUCGGAAUCCGAGUGGCGCGCAGUAGCCAAGAGGGCGCGACUCUGUUGCAGUCAGCGCCAAUUCAACUUCAACUUUGAGCGGCAAUUGUUCGCCACCAGCCAAGGUAUCCAAGAAAAUAGUGGGGGGAAUUG
This is a non-coding RNA of Drosophila melanogaster (fruit fly), 4915 nucleotides long. Lineage: Eukaryota; Metazoa; Arthropoda; Insecta; Diptera; Drosophilidae. The record is from Ensembl.